Molecule: RNA transcript, 1255 nt
Organism: Rhodamnia argentea
Lineage: Eukaryota; Viridiplantae; Streptophyta; Magnoliopsida; Myrtales; Myrtaceae
Gene name: dnaJ homolog subfamily B member 7-like
Exons: 7
Source: RefSeq, a predicted model, not a curated record
GCAAACAGAAAUUCAUAUAAAUGGCCCUGUCUCUCUAGAGUCUUCUUGAGCCUCAUCCCUUCAUCGGAGGCUGAUCUUCAUCUUCAUCUUCGUCUUCGUCAUCCCCUUCUUCUUGUCUGCCCAAUUUCCUCUUGGGACGUCCUCCCUUUCGCUCUUCUUUAUCUCCAGGAGACAAUGCUAGAUCCUAGAGGUUUCGUGUGCGAUUAUUUCAUAGCUAGCUUUGCCUUCAAACUCAGUCGCCCAUUCUUUUUUUUUGUCAUAUGAACAUGGGUUCGAGUUAAAUCCGUCGACAUAACGAUUUUGAGCUUUUGUCAUCGGACCUUGGUGGGUUCAAAAAGGAGGGCUUUAUUAUUAUUAUUAUUAUUAUUAUUAUUAUUAUUUUUUCCUUAGUUUUCUUGGGUUUGGAUCAAAGAGAGGAAGAAGCCAAGGCAUAGGUUGAAGUUAAGAGAAUCAAUGGCGAGUGGAGGAGAAGAGAAGAUGAAGACGAAGACGAAGACGAAGGAUUUGUACGCGGUUCUGGGGUUGAACAAGGAAUGCACAGCUUCCGAGCUGAGGGACGCUUAUAAGAAGCUCGCUCUGAGGUGGCACCCAGAUCGAUGUUCAGCUUCGGGAAGCUCCAAGUCCGUGGAAGAGUCCAAGAAGAAAUUCCAGGGAAUUCAGCAGGCGUAUUCCGUGCUAUCUGACGCGAACAAGAGGUUCUUGUACGAUGUAGGAGUCUACAACGACGACGACGACGAAAACCUCGGGAUGGGGGAGUUCUUGAGCGAGAUGGCCGUUAUGAUGAGCCAAACCCAGUCCGAUGCAAGUGGGAAGGAGACAUUGGAGGAACUGCAGGAGCUGUUCGAUGAAAUGUUUCAAGCCGACAUCGAGGCAUUCGCUCCCAACUCCCGCACUCUGAGCCCUACUGGGUGUUCGACUUCGUCCUCGACUUCGUACAUCUCUUACCGCACGAGUCCCAGCUCGAGUAAUAAGCGGAGCUCCUCAGAAAUCAGUAGAGUCACAUCCGGCUUCGAUGCCCACUUGCAGAGUUUUUGUUUUGGGGUAUGCGUUUAGGAUUAUGAUUACGCUCGAGGGACAAAAGGAAGGGUUAGAUUGAUCAUAAGUCAUUGCAAGUUGAGAACAGGUGGAGCAGGAGGAAGAUCUCAGGAUAGGAAAGAGGGUCGCCGGAGGAAUUGCCGGAGCAACCAGCGGCAGUAGGCGGAGGCAGGGCCGGAAAAGGAAAGAUUUUGUCAGGCGACGUUUGGUCAGACUGCUU